This is a long non-coding RNA of Brienomyrus brachyistius, 842 nucleotides long. RefSeq lists it as uncharacterized. The transcript has 3 exons. Lineage: Eukaryota; Metazoa; Chordata; Actinopteri; Osteoglossiformes; Mormyridae. The record is from RefSeq and is a predicted model, not a curated record.
GAUCACUGGGGUUCGUCUCCUGUCCCCUUUCAGUUUACCUCCCUCCCCUCCAUGGGUCGCUGGGCAGACAGCCUUCCAGAAAAGCCUCUUCUUAUACUGCACUUGGGAGCAUCGGCAAGAUUAACACCAACACCUAUGUCAUUAGUCUGUUAGGAAGCAUCUGUUAAGAGAGAGUGCAUAAUGCAGCAUGUGCUCUGCUUUAUUUUGGCUUAUCCCUUUAAAACUUUUAAUUAAUCUUCUGCUCAUUAAGGCUAAGUAGGCAGCAAGGCGAAUCACUGAGGAAGACGCAUGGCUAAUCCGCUAAUAGGCUUCUAUCACGUUUUUAGGUCAUUCUGAUCUCUCUUCAUUUAAAUCUCUUGUACUAGAUCAAGUGGGAAAGGUAACAGACACAGUUGUUCAGAUUUUUGACUUGAUCUUGAACUGAAACUCUGAAAGUCUUCAACGCAACAUCCUGAAAACAUCCACCUCAGAAGUUCUGAAUGGUUCCAACUAAUAUUUUAUUUUAGUGAGCGGUAAGCAGUUACAGGUAAUCGCUUGGAUAGUAGGACAUCUCUCUUUGGACCCAACUUUGGAUGUAAUUAACACUGGACUGCUACAGAACUGACCACCAAACUCAAAGCCAUUGUCAGUCACGUUCUCACCAUUUAAUCAGGCAGGGUCGCCGGAGUCUGAGGCCUAUGGCGGAAGCUUCUGGAACAGGGCAGGGAAUAACCCAGGAUCCACCGCAGAGCACACAUAGUCACACCUACGGAUAUUUGGUAACUCCAAUUCCCGCAUGGUUUUUGGACUGUGGAGGAUCACCAGAGAACCUGGAGGAAACCCCAAGCAGAUAUGGGGAGAAC